CCUACACCUAGAGGCAUUGUAGCUUUGGCUCUGUGUUCCAUGUGUAUCAGUAGAAGGCAGAGAAGAGAGAGAGGCUAGUCUGUAUUCAGCACUCUGACCUGUAAACAUUCUGUAUCUAAUUCUUGGUAGCCUGACACU
Molecule: small nucleolar RNA, 138 nt
Filed under: Mus spicilegus (steppe mouse)
Lineage: Eukaryota; Metazoa; Chordata; Mammalia; Rodentia; Muridae
Description: Small nucleolar RNA SNORA17 (ENSMSIG00000006562.1)
Rfam family: Small nucleolar RNA SNORA17
About the family: snoRNA ACA 17 belongs to the H/ACA family of snoRNAs and is predicted to guide pseudouridylation of the 28S rRNA at positions U4659 and U4598. It shares the same host gene together with ACA43. NB This family has a high threshold value to exclude a large number of closely related sequences that do not appear to have conserved H and ACA boxes, and may be pseudogenes.
Source: Rfam by way of RNAcentral